Molecule: ribosomal RNA, 468 nt
Filed under: uncultured bacterium
Lineage: Bacteria
Description: partial 16S ribosomal RNA
Rfam family: Bacterial small subunit ribosomal RNA
Source: RNAcentral
GACGAACGCUGGCGGCGUGCUUAACACAUGCAAGUCGAACGGAAAGGCCCUGCUUUUGUGGGGUGCUCGAGUGGCGCACGGGUGAGUAACACGUGAGUAACCUUCCCUUGACUUUGGGAUAACUUCAGGAAACUGGGGCUAAUACCGGAUAGGAGCUCCUGCUGCAUGGUGGUGGUUGGAAAGUUUAGGCGGUUGGGGAUGGACUCGCGGCUUAUCAGCUUGUUGGUGGGGUAGUGGCUUACCAAGGCUUUGACGGGUAGCCGGCCUGAGAGGGUGACCGGCCACAUUGGGACUGAGAUACGGCCCAGACUCCAACGGGAGGCAGCGGGGGGGAAUAUGGCACAAUGGGCGGGAGCCUGAUGCAGCAACGCCGCGUGCGGGAUGACGGCCUUGGGGGUGUAAACCGCUUUCGGCUGUGACGAAGCGGGAGUGACGGUAAUGGGUAAAGAAGCACCGGCUAACUACGUG